Molecule: long non-coding RNA, 4143 nt
Filed under: Sus scrofa (pig)
Lineage: Eukaryota; Metazoa; Chordata; Mammalia; Artiodactyla; Suidae
Description: lncRNA (ENSSSCG00040074273.1)
Source: RNAcentral
GGAGCCCAGAUGUGGAGUCCGAGGGAGACGUCAGUACAGAGAAGGGAGAAGUGAAAGUGAAAAACCCUGGGGCUGCUGGACACUCCAGGUAAGCCUCCUGAGGUCCCUGGCCCUGUGAGUCAGGUGGUGGAGGGGAGGGGGUCCUCCCAGCCCCUCAUUAACCCCUUCACACCUAGGCUGGGACCAGGAGACCAGGCUAGGUGAGAAAAAGUGUGGGAGCAGAAAGGACUGUGGCAUGGACAAACUCUGAUCUGAUCGAGAGCAUGCUGGAAGAGGUCAGGAUCCUCCGCUAGGCUGCUCAGCUGGAGGGGCGCCCCUGCUCCACCCACAGCUGAUACUCACCCAAGUGGUUGCAGAACCUGACUGAACCCACUGUCAAAGCCCAGGGAGUGCCAGAGGGGCCCAAAGGGCCAGAAGUGGAGGCCUGAGCCCCCAGUCCUCCACAGCAUUGCUGCCUUCCACGCCUCCUUCUGUCCUUUUUGGGGGCCGCCCCACAGCUUUCUUCGACACCACUGUAACCCCACCCUUGGUGCCUACCGCCCAGAGGGAGCCCGCGCCCAGUGGCCCUGCGCCCCGCACAUCCGCCACUAGCACCCCACGCAAUCGCCACCAUCAUCUGCGGGAAGUCUUCCUUUCUCACCUGGAUCGGUCGCGGUUCCUUUCCGCUUCACUCCCCCUGCCGGCCAUGCCUCUGAGAGCGUGAGGUAGGAGGCCUGGCUGGGCGGCUGUCUGCACGGGCCAGGAGUGCUGGGUGCCGCCAGGGGUCUCGUGCUGCUGGGGGCGGGGGUCUGCCUCCUUAAGGCUCUGCUUGAGCUCAGGGCCUGGGCUGCGCAGGCCAUCCCUCUACCCCAGAUGCAGACUGAAGACAAGACCCACGUUUCACCGCACCAGAGGGCAGCAAGGUGCGAACUAUGGCGGGACCACUUUACAGUCCCUAAAACCCUCACUCUGCUUUGACCAGCAGCCUCAAGUUUCAGGAUGGGGACCAGCAGUCUAGCUGAGGGCAAGAGGCAGCAGAGGUGGGAUGGAGCUGAGGCAGCCGCCCCUCUGGGGCACGGAUAGGGUUGUAGUCUGUGCUUCUCCCUCUGGGCCCUGUGCAGGGUCCCACGUGGGCUCUGGGCUGCACCCUGGCACUGCCCCUGGUGCCUUGAGAUCGAAGGCUCACUCAUCCCCUGUCCCAGCAUCUUGGGAGUUUUGCCUGAAGCAAGCCCUGUUUUGGCUGUUUUCUCCCGCAUGCAGGAGGCGGCCCCUGGAGUCUUCUUGGCUGGCCGCAGCCACCCAGCUCCGCCUCCCCAGAGUGCACGUGGCUCCCUAGGGGAGUCGUCAAGACCCGAGCCCUCACAGCUUUUGGUGGGACCCCACUCCUCACUAUCCCGCCACUGUAAAGGUGCAUCCACGGCGCCACGCCCAGAGCUCAGAAUUCCAGCCAGGCCUCCUGAUUUCCAUUCCUGGAAAGACCUGCGCGCCCUUGCGCAUCUCUGGUGGGUGCAAAGCCCACCAAUGGUUGUACUCGAGUGCUCCUAGAGACAAGGUGGUCACCACCUGCUCUCCCAUCGUGGGUCUCCCGCCAGCUGGAGCACAUGCACACAUAGAUGGAGCAGAGCAGGGAGUGUGCAGGGUGUGAGCUCACUGCGCACUGAGGAACCCAUCCCCCAGGAAGCGGAGCAUGGAGCGGGGCAGAACAGGGCUGCCUCACCCUGCGUUUAGAAAGAGAGGGGCUGGGCUUUCCUUGACUCGGUUAAUUCGUUUCAGGAUUGAUUAGCUGGGAACUGCCUCCAGCGCUUGCCUAGAUGGGCCUCAGCGGUCUCACAGGAAGGCCCCGCACUGGGAGCCGCCAGCGCCCUGCCUUCCUGCGGCCGCUUAGCCUCUGGGGUCCAAGCCUUGGCAGGAGGUGCAAGGGAGCGACCUUCUCUGGAGCCGGGAGAGGCAGGCGCACAGGGAGGCUCCAUCCUCUCUCUUCAGCUCCAUCCUUCUUCUCUGCUCCCCGCCCACCACAGGGGAGAGGGGGCUCACGCAGGGCCUUGGCCCCUGGGCGUGCCUCAUCUUCCUCCAUCCAACAAAGGCAACACGAUGGCGAAUGCAGGGCGUGCAUUCGUGGAGCGGCGACCCCUGUCCUGGAGGUGGGCGGGGGGAGGCCAUUGUGUUGCGGCUCGCUCCCCUGGUCCCCUGUGGUCACCACCAAGCUGAAGAGGACCCACUGGCUCUGCGCGGCGGGGGCGGGGCAGGGCACAGUCUGCACCGGUGGAUCUUGUGUGCCCAGGUCAUGGCUCUGCUGUGGGGGUUGGGGGUUUGCAGACCCUCCAGUGGGCGAGGCUGGGCUGAGACUGGGGGCCUUUGUGCGGGAGUUUCCCUGCCCCUGAUCCACUGGACUGGUCUCUUGUGACACCACCUGCCUGCGGGUUGGAAGAAACAGAACCCUCUUCCCAGCCUCGGGCCUCCUCGCACCUGGGAGAAGUGGCUCUGUGGGCCCCUAACUGCUCCCUGGCCCUUCCUUCCAGGUGCCCCCAACUGAAGCACAGGUCCCUGCAGCUUCCCAGGACUCCUCCUGGGUGAUGGGCCCUUACCCUGAACUCUGGUGGGGGGGGGCCAUGCCCUGCACUGAGUUCCAGUGCACAGCACAGUGGGGUUUACAUGAGGGGACCAGGCAGACCCUGGGGAGUUCUUGGCAAAGGUUGGGGACCUGGGGACCAAAACCAGCCUGGUGUGUGUGCUUUGGUGGCUUGGAAAUGACACUGGUUCAGGGUGAGCUGAGCCACCACCAAGGGGACUCUUUCUGGUCCUCAGCGCCACCUGCCUCCUGAUCCAAAGGUCUGGACCCUGUGGGACCGAUGAUUGUAGAACGAGGAGUGGACACUGGAGGGGUGACAGGAAUGGGAAAAGAGAGACACAAUGCACUGUGACAGCAACUCCUCAGAGCUGGGAGGGGUGGGCCAGGUUCUGCACAGCCGUGCACAGCUGGGUGCAGCCUCCUGUCUGCCCCGGAGCCUAGCUGCACCCCCUCACUGAGGGUGCUAUCUUCUGGGCCCAGUGCCCAGGAGGACAGAUGGGGGGAGAUGGCGAGAGGGGUGGCCAGACCGGAUGGGGCUGUCAGCUGGCCUGGGCGAUGGCACCCUGCCCCCCCCACCCCCCACAGGGCACCAGGGCCCCCUGCAGGCUGGAAGUUCCCACAACUCCAGAACAAACAAACAGCCGGCCCCUUGCACAGCCAGCCCCCAACCCUGCUCCAAUUUCUGGGCCUGUUGACUUAGCUGCCCACUUGGUGGGAGGACCCAGCCACAUGGGGAGUUGGCUGUCCAUCUGUCUGUCCAUCUACUGGCCACACUAGCCCCCACACCCCAUGUCCUGUCAGGCAGAGGUGGGGCUCAGAGCAGGUGAGCUGAAUUCAGGCUGCCUGCAGCUUCCCCUCUGUGGCCAGGGCUGGGGAACCGCACUUUCCAGGGAAAACGCCCCAGGGUGUGUUGGCUGAAGGCGAGGCCAGAAGAAGGAUACCCGUGGACCCUCUCCUCAUAUUAUUCUGGCAGCAGGGGAUCCUGGCUGGGUACACAUCCAUUUGCGAGCGACAUGGCACCCACAUGCACGAGCACACUUGCACACGAGCGUGCAUACUCUUGCAGCACACAGUACAGGCAUGCAUGGACACCAGCCUGGACCCAGUGCACACAUGGGCACAUGCAGAACAUGACACAGACGCGCAUGUGUGUGCAGGUGCAUCCCUCACCAUGGCCCCUGGAACAGGUCCUCAGGGUGAGCAACACUCACCUUAGUGACCCAGUUGUUUAAGUUUGUUCUUAUGGAUCAUUUCCUGAAAGCGACAUGCUCAGAUGAUGGGGGGGGGGGGCAGGGAGGCGCUGGCUGGGAUGAUGCCACGGACUCCUGUAAUAGCCUCACUCAAUAGGACCCUUCUGGGAGUUCCCAUCAUGUCUCAGUGGUUAACGAAUCUGACUAGGAACCAUGAGGUUGUGGGUUCAAUCCCUGCCCUUGCUCAGUGGGUUAAGGAUCCGGCGUUGCCGUGAGCUGUGGUGUAGGUCGCAGACACGGCUCGGAUCCCACAUGGCUAUGGCUGUGGUGUAGGCUGGCGGCUACAGCUCCUGUUAGACCCCUAGCCUGGGAACCUCCAUAUGCCAUGCAUGCAGCCCUAAAAAA